AUGGGCUGGGCAGGGGGCCGGUACUCGGUCUGGGACACGCCUCUGGGGACUUUCUCCUUCAGAGUGGUUUCCUGUUGCGCUGCAUUCCUGGUGGACCCUGUCUCCCUGCUUUCCUGGCAGAGCUUGGCUGGAGGGCAUGGCGGGAGCUAAUUGAAGCCGUGGCUUGUGGCUUGUGCCUUGCUCAGCCAGAUUGCAAAGGCAGCUGCGGGAAGGAGGUUAACCGGGGUGCUCUCCCAGCAGCCCACGCUGGCCACACCCUCCCUGGCGGUGUGGCUGUGAGUUUGCCAAUACCUGGGGGACAGGGCGGGAGGGGGGCGUCUGAGACUCUGGCCCCUGAAGAGCCUGCAGACCGAGAAGUGGGAGCCACAGUGCUGGAAUAACAGAAGCACACUGUGAGCAGGGGGUCACAGGUGCCCAAGGACACGACUGGCCAUCGGACAACAGGACCGGAUCUGAAGCCAGGUCUAGAAAACUCCAUCCCUCUGCCUGCCCGUUGUGGCUUCGCCUGCUGGCCAGGGACCCAGUCUGGCACCUGUGCAGAGCAAACAGGUUGGGUACAGAAGCACUAAGUUGUCUGCAUGCAAACACACACACAAAGCACAGGUAAUGAUGGUGGUAGUGAUGGUGAGGGUGAGGGUGACUGGUGGUGGUGAUGAUGGUGAUGGUGGUGUUUAGGGUGGUGGUGGAGACACUGACAGGAGGAAGAAGUAGAGGCAGAGGGAGUUUCCCAAAAACAGUGUUAGGAUCAUUGCCACACACACACCCCUCCUCUUGAUCCCUAGGAAAUCUAAUUGCAGGGUAGCCGUCUUUAGCCUACGCAGAAGGCUCUCUGACAGCUCCAGCCUUCGCUGUGCUGGCCACCCUUUAAUUAGUCACCACACUCCACACCCUGGUCCCUGAACACUUGGACUAAGGAACACCCCUGCCCCCCGGCCUGAACAGACUGACUCAUUCCAGAAGCAGCUACCGGGCGUAGAGCUGCAUCAGCUGCGUGCAGGACACGGACGGGGAUGUCGAGGGCGCCCUCUUUCCUCUCUAGAAGUCAACAGGACUGGAGGAGACAAGAUACAGCCACAGCAAAGCUGUUCCACUGCUGUCCCUGCUGUGGCUUUAGCUCUACACGCCGGUGUUGGAUAACGUGCAUUCAGCAAGCUGUUGGUGAAACUCUGGUUCAAAAUAAAACCAAACAGACUAGGCACAGGCAGGUGGCCUCGUGGUUAGCAUGCCCACACCCCCACAUUGGAGAACCUGGCUCCAGGUUCCUGCUAAAGCAGACCCUGGGCAGCUUAAGUAAUUGGGUUCCUGCCACCUACUUGGGAGACCUGAAGUGUGUUCCCGGCUUCUGGCCUUGGCCCUGAUCCAACCCCAGCCAUUGUAAACAUUCAAAGAAGAAGAAACCAGUGGAUUGGAGCUCUGUGUGCAUGUGUGGGUGUGUGCACCUACCAAAUAAAAAUAUUAAAGCUUAAAAAUAAAUAAGUAAAUAAAACAGAAUUUAAAAAAAAAA
Molecule: non-coding RNA, 1504 nt
Organism: Oryctolagus cuniculus (rabbit)
Lineage: Eukaryota; Metazoa; Chordata; Mammalia; Lagomorpha; Leporidae
Source: RefSeq, a predicted model, not a curated record